Molecule: ribosomal RNA, 499 nt
Filed under: Microjulistus subconvexus
Lineage: Eukaryota; Metazoa; Arthropoda; Insecta; Coleoptera; Melyridae
Description: partial 16S ribosomal RNA
Rfam family: Bacterial large subunit ribosomal RNA (bases 363-499)
Source: RNAcentral
AAGNUCUAAUCUGCCCAAUGAGNNNNNNAAUGGCNNNAGUAUUUUGACUGUGNNAAGGUAGCAUAAUCAAUAGUUUCUUAAUUAGAAGCUUGUAUGAAUGAUUGGAUGAGAAAAUAACUGUCUUAAUUUAAUUUAAUUGAAUUUUAUUUUUAAGUCAAAAAGCUUAAAUGAAAUUAAAAGACGAGAAGACCCUAUAGAGUUUGAUAUAAAUUAAUAAUUUUAAUUUUUAUUUAAUUAUUAAAUUUUUUAUUUUGUAUUUGGUUGGGGUGAUAGAAAAAUUUAAUUAACUUUUUUUAUUUUGAAACAUUAAUUUAUGAGCUUAUGAUCCAAUAUUUUUGAUUAAAAGAUUAAAUUACCUUAGGGAUAACAGCGUAAUUUUUUUUGAGAGUUCUUAUCGAAAAAAAAGAUUGCGACCUCGAUGUUGGAUUAAAGUUAAGGUUUGGUGUAGAAGCUAAACAUUUAGGUCUGUUCGACCUUUAAAACUUUACAUGAUCUGAGU